This 79-nucleotide small RNA is filed under the name human gut metagenome. RNAcentral's name for it is "GA-cis RNA". It matches the Rfam family "GA-cis RNA". The record is from RNAcentral.
GAGGAGCUAUCCGCGACGAAGUCGCAUCGGAAUGAUAGCGACGAAAGGCCGCCGAACGAAGGUGAGGGGGCAAUUCAAU